This 253-nucleotide ribosomal RNA is filed under the name uncultured bacterium. RNAcentral's name for it is "partial 16S ribosomal RNA". It matches the Rfam family "Bacterial small subunit ribosomal RNA", at positions 524 to 776 of the family's 1533-position model. The record is from RNAcentral.
UACAGAGGUCUCAAGCGUUGUUCGGAUUCAUUGGGCGUAAGGGGUGCGUAGGCGGCGCGGUAAGUCGGGUGUGAAAUCUCGGAGCUUAACUCCGAAACUGCAUUCGAUACUGCCGUGCUUGAGGACUGGAGAGGAGACUGGAAUUUACGGUGUAGCGGUGAAAUGCGUAGAUAUCGUAAGGAAGACCAGUGGCGAAGGCGGGUCUCUGGACAGUUCCUGACGCUGAGGCACGAAGGCCAGGGGAGCAAACGGG